Molecule: ribosomal RNA, 1353 nt
Filed under: metagenome
Description: bacterial LSU rRNA
Rfam family: Bacterial large subunit ribosomal RNA
Source: RNAcentral
UGAAUACGAAAUGCUACGGCAUUGAAGUGAUCUAUGCCAUGCUUCCAAGAAAAUCUCGUCAUAUCUUAAACAAUAGAUGCCUGUACCUUAAACCGACACAGGUAGGUAGGUAGAGUAUACCAAGGGGCGCGAGAUAACUCUCUCUAAGGAACUCGGCAAAAUAACCUCGUAACUUCGGAAGAAGAGGUACCCUUGAAAAAGGGUUGCAAUAACCAGACCCUGGCGACUGUUUACCAAAAACACAGGUCUCCGCUAAUUCGUAAGAUCAAGUAUGGAGGCUGACGCCUGCCCAGUGCCGGAAGGUUAAAGAAGUUGGUCAAUCUUUGGAUGAAGCUGGCGACUGAAGCCCCGGUGAACGGCGGCCGUAUCUAUAACGGUCCUAAGGUAGCGAAAUUCCUUGUCGGGUAAGUUCCGACCCGCACGAAAGGCGUAACGAUCAGGGUGCUGUCUCGGAGAGAGACUCGGCGAAAUAGACAUGUCUGUGAAGAUGCGGACUACCUGCACCUGGACAGAAAGACCCUAUGAAGCUUUACUGUAUCUUGGAAUUGGGUUUGGGCCUUGCUUGCGCAGGAUAGGUGGGAGGCUAUGAAAAUAUUCUUGCGGGAAUGUUGGAGCCAACGGUGAGAUACCACUCUAGUAAGGCUAAAAUUCUAACUCUGAACCGUUAUCCGGUCAGAGAACAGUUUCAGGUGGGCAGUUUGACUGGGGCGGUCGCCUCCUAAAGGGUAACGGAGGCGCGCAAAGGUUCCCUCAGGCUGGUUGGACAUCAGUCGUAGAGUGUAAAGGCAUAAGGGAGCUUGACUGCGAGACCCACAAGUCGAGCAGAGACGAAAGUCGGCCUUAGUGAUCCGACGGUUCCACGUGGAAGGGCCGUCGCUCAACGGAUAAAAGUUACUCUAGGGAUAACAGGCUGAUCUCCCCCAAGAGUUCACAUCGACGGGGAGGUUUGGCACCUCGAUGUCGGCUCAUCGCAUCCUGGGGCGGUAGUACGUCCCAAGGGUUGGGCUGUUCGCCCAUGAAAGCGGUACGCGAGCUGGGUUCAGAACGUCGUGAGACAGUUCGGUCCAUAUCCGGUGCAGGCGUUAGAGCAUUGAAAGGAGUCCCCCUUAGUACGAGAGGACCGGGGGGAAUACACCGCUGGUGUACCAGUUAUCGUGCCAACGGUAAACGCUGGGUAGCCAUGUGUAGCGUGGAUAACUGCUGAAAGCAUCUAAGUAGGAAGCCCACCUUAAGAUGAGUGCUCUCACCGCUAUAAGCGGGUAAGGUCACGGUAAGAACAACCGUUAUAUAGGCAUUAAGUAUACGUGCAGUAAUGCAUUUAGCUAAGAUGUACUAACAGACCGAGGGCUUGAU